Molecule: ribosomal RNA, 614 nt
Filed under: uncultured bacterium
Lineage: Bacteria
Description: bacterial SSU rRNA
Rfam family: Bacterial small subunit ribosomal RNA
Source: RNAcentral
CCUACGGGAGGCAGCAGUGGGGAAUUUUGGACAAUGGGCGCAAGCCUGAUCCAGCAAUGCCGCGUGAGUGAAGAAGGCCUUCGGGUUGUAAAGCUCUUUUGUCAGGGAAGAAACGGUGGGAGCUAAUAUCUCCUACUAAUGACGGUACCUGAAGAAUAAGCACCGGCUAACUACGUGCCAGCAGCCGCGGUAAUACGUAGGGUGCAAGCGUUAAUCGGAAUUACUGGGCGUAAAGCGUGCGCAGGCGGUUUUGUAAGUCUGUCGUGAAAGCCCCGGGCUCAACCUGGGAAUUGCGAUGGAGACUGCAAGGCUUGAAUCUGGCAGAGGGGGGUAGAAUUCCACGUGUAGCAGUGAAAUGCGUAGAGAUGUGGAGGAACACCGAUGGCGAAGGCAGCCCCCUGGGUCAAGAUUGACGCUCAUGCACGAAAGCGUGGGGAGCAAACAGGAUUAGAUACCCUGGUAGUCCACGCCCUAAACGAUGUCUACUAGUUGUCGGGUUUUAAUUAACUUGGUAACGCAGCUAACGCGUGAAGUAGACCGCCUGGGGAUACGGUCGCAAGAUUAAACUAAAUGAAAUUGAGGCUGAGACGNGACGAGACGACGACGAGGAGAGG